Molecule: ribosomal RNA, 253 nt
Filed under: uncultured bacterium
Lineage: Bacteria
Description: partial 16S ribosomal RNA
Rfam family: Bacterial small subunit ribosomal RNA
Source: RNAcentral
UACGUAGGGGGCAAGCGUUGUCCGGAAUCAUUGGGCGUAAAGAGCGUGUAGGCGGUCCGAUAAGUCCGCUCUGAAAGCCCGGGGCUCAACCCCGGGAGGCGGGCGGAUACUGUCGGGCUAGAGUCCGGAAGAGGCAAGUGGAAUUCCUGGUGUAGCGGUGAAAUGCGCAGAUAUCAGGAGGAACACCGAUGACGAAGGCAGGUCUCUGGGCCACUACUGACGCUGAGAAGCGAAAGCAUGGGGAGCGAACAGG